RNAcentral lists this ribosomal RNA (274 nucleotides) under uncultured bacterium. RNAcentral's name for it is "partial 16S ribosomal RNA". It matches the Rfam family "Bacterial small subunit ribosomal RNA", at positions 523 to 796 of the family's 1533-position model. The record is from RNAcentral.
AUACGGAGGGUGCAAGCGUUACUCGGAAUCACUGGGCGUAAAGCGCGCGCAGGCGGUCUUUUAAGUUGGAUGUGAAAGCCUACGGCUCAACCGUAGAACUGCAUCCAAAACUAUUAGACUAGAGUGUGGGAGAGGAAGAUGGAAUUAGAUGUGUAGGGGUAAAAUCCGUAGAGAUAACUAGGAAUACCAAAAGCGAAGGCAAUCUUCUGGAACACUACUGACGCUGAGGCGCGAAAGCGUGGGGAGCAAACAGGAUUAGAAACCCCAGUAGUCC